CGGGCAUGACAUAAAACAGUGAAUCAAAGAAUUCAACUUUAUUUAUAACUAACAUAGGACAAUGCUGUUGAUUAAAAAAUACCCCAGUCUAGGACCUUUUGUUAUCCAAAUAAUUAAUAUUACCAAUAAUUGAUAAGUUCCAGUUCGACGGGAUCAAACAGAAAGAUUUGAAAGAAGAGAAAACUGUGUAUCUUAUAAUCGGCAUGACUUUAUCAGAUAAAAAAUAAUACUAAAAUAAGGCUUGCGCAUAGUUAUAUACUUUAAUUCAGUCACGGACCCGCGA
RNAcentral lists this long non-coding RNA (283 nucleotides) under Mytilus galloprovincialis (Mediterranean mussel). The record is from RNAcentral. Lineage: Eukaryota; Metazoa; Mollusca; Bivalvia; Mytilida; Mytilidae.